This 2793-nucleotide ribosomal RNA is filed under the name Triticum aestivum (bread wheat). RNAcentral describes it as "partial small subunit ribosomal RNA". Lineage: Eukaryota; Viridiplantae; Streptophyta; Magnoliopsida; Poales; Poaceae. The record is from RNAcentral.
AUGACGGCGGCUCAGGGAACCACUGUGGGUGAGACCCAGCCACAGCGAGACCCGGCGCGGAAGAGCGACAGGCGGGUCACAAGGAGGCGGCACGUCCUCGGCGAGUUCAAGCAGGCGAAGGAAGCAAUGCGCCAACAAUGUCAGUUGAGCGAUGGGGAUGCGAGUCCUGAAGCAUAUACCUCUGGGGCUCCUCGCAGUCGUGUGAUCGUGCUGCCGGACAUGAGGAAGAGAAAUGGUCAGCGACGACCAUUUAGGCUAGCAUCGUGUCUAACCUUAGAGGAUGCCUCUAACAAUGUAACAAUCCAUAUGGUUCCAAUUGUCAGCCUUAGGAAGCAUAAGAAAGUAGGAGUACAAGAGAAAUACGUAUCUUGCCCCCUCUCAUCCACCGUUGGAAUUGAUCCAGCGGCCAGCAGCAGUUCACAGCCAAUCAACAAAAACAGGGGAAAAUUCUCGAGCGGGACAGGGGAAACGGCGCGCGGGCUGGGAGAAAACUGCGCGGGCAGGCCGUCCCUGCCGCUCGCUAGCCCCGCCGCCGCCACAUCUCGCCCACCCCCCGCCGCCGCAUAUCGCCCACCCCGCCGCCGCAUCUCGUCAGCCACCACCGGAUCUCGCCCCCCUUACCGCCGCUCGCCAGCGGCCGCUGCAUCUCGCCCACCCCGCCGCCGCCGCUGUUCGCCCGCCCCGCUGCUGGAAAGGGAGUGGAUCGAGCUCCGGCGGCUGCCGCUGAAGAAAACGGCGCCGACAGGUUCCUCCUUCGCCACUACGGGCUACUCCACCCCACCCCUCCGACGGCUCCCUCCGCCCCCUGCGACCCCUACUCGAGCAGUGUCCAUUAAGCAAGCUCCAGGCCGACUCCAGCAGACCUGCAAAAGAAUCUGUAUUGUGUUCAACUUUCUGCUGUUGUGUUGUGCUAAAACUUCUAUUUUUUUUGGCUGUGAACUGCUGCUGGACGCUGGAUCAAUUCCAACGGUGGAUGAGAGGGGGCAAGAAGUCAAAAGUAAUGGUGACAGUAGCGCGUGGACAGAAUGCGUCAGCGCAGUGGAGUUGCAACAGUACAGAGAAACUCGUAUUACUAAGAACCAGUGCACAAACAUAUAUGAGCAGUACACAGGCACAACAAUCUGGCGGUUACCCUCUUCACGCACAGCACACAAAAAAGAUUCAUCCAAUUUCUCUCUUUGCACACAACGCCCACACCAAAUCACGCACACACAGCAAGCACACUCAACCAUGGAAAGCACACACCCACAGAAGAGAUCCAACUCAAUUUCUCUCUUUGCACACAACGCGCGUCAUGUGGGAAGCUGGUCAAGCACCACUUGGGCAGGGCACCACGGCCGGGGGAAGCUGGUUCGGCAAGGCGGGCGCGCACGACGUGGUCGUCCAGCCGGCAGCGGGAGAAGGCCAGCAACAGCCGCUCCUGGUCACCGCUAUGCUCCUGCCACCAACGGACCUUGGGCGCUGCGACUUGCCCUGCACAACGCCGCCUCGCCCGUCCUUCACUGCUUGGCGCCCUCCGCCUCCCCACCAUGGCUGCCCUCCACCGCGCCAUCCGUAGCAGCGUCCGCAGUGCCCUCCUCCAUGCCUCGCGCCGCUGCUGUGUGCCUCGCGUCGUGCGGUAGGGUCCCAUCCCCGAUCUCCAGCCUCUCUAAUCCCAUCCACGGGCCUGCUUUCAUUGGGGCCCUGGCCGUCACCACGAUCCCACCCCGUGUGACCGCCGAUCUGGUGCUGAUGCCGCAGAAGAAGCGCCCCCGCCGUAGGAGGUCUCCUCACGAAGGCUCCUCCCGCCGGCGCUGUGGUGAAGAUGGCGCAUCGUUGUCUGGAUCCCUUGUCGAAUCGGAUGGGAGCAGCAGCAGCAGCACGACUUCCGGCGCACCGUUAUCGGAAUCCCUCGACCAGCCAUCGGACACCCGGUCGUCUAGCAAGUACGAGUCCAGGUACCAUGAGAUCCUCGCCUCGUCUCUUGCCAUGCUGCCUCUACCAGCCGCCACGAACGAGGAAGGCCUAGAUAUCCAUUCUGAUGAAACUGUCGAAGCCCUCGUUCAUCCUUCUUUCUAUGAUGACCAGCUGCGGGCUGCUCUCGUAGAAUACCAAGUCCACAAGUUCAUGGGCGGACGAGACUUGCUGAAAGGAGUGCCUAUUGACGAUGUUGCAUUCGACUCCGAGUACCCUCCAGAGCUUGCCUUGGACAGCCACCGUCUUUACCAGAGAGAUGAAGCCGACUUGGAAUUCUCUUCAGUGGAUAGGUGCUCUUUCGUUGUCGCCGCUGCUGGCCGAGGGGAGAUGCCACCGCCGCCCUUGGCGCCGUAUUCCAUUGACGCCUUCUUCCGGAACGCCGCAGAGAAGAAGGCCGCCGGGGCGCAGCAGCAGCAGCCCUCGGUGCCGGCCACCGCGACGUCCGUGGACGCCGCCGUGAUCGCGGAGCUCACCAGGCUGUCCGACACCAAGCGGAGGUUCCUCAAGGAUCCCGCAGGUGCGACCAGGAACACCGCGGCUGCGGGCAACACCGCCCUCUCCAAGCAUGCCGAGGAGCAGCGGCAUCUGCUCAAGACGUACCAGAUCACGGCGCGCAAGCUGGAGGCGGAGCUCCAUUUUGUGGUUGAUCUUGGUCUUGUUCUAUAUGCAGGGUACACUCAAUGUUUCACGUUUGGUGAAAGAAAAGAGUCUGCUUUGUUGAUUUUGGGCAAGAUUAUGAAGGAGUGGAGGCACUCAUGCGGAGCUGUUCAAGGUUCAAGGAGAUACACCCGAUUGAACAAGGUUGUAGCAGAAACUUUUAGAGGCCCUGAAUUGUGA